GACGAACGCUGGCGGCGUGCCUAAUACAUGCAAGUCGAACGCAGUGGGGACGGGUGAGUAACACGUGGGUAACCUCCCAUCAGAGGGGAUAACACUUGGAAACAGGCGUUAAACCGAUAGGGAUGGAUGGAACCGCGGGGCAUUACCUAGUUGGUGAGGUAACGGCUCACCAAGGCCACGAUGCAUAGCCGACCUGAGAGGGUGAUCGGCCACACUGGAACUGAGACACGGCCCAGACUCCUACGGGAGGCAGCAGUAGGGAAUCUUCGGCAAUGGACGAAAGUCUGACCGAGCAACGCCGCGUGAGUGAAGAAGGUUUUCGGAUCGUAAAACUCUUUUGUUAGGGAAGCGUUAUCUGACCAGAAAGCCACGGCUAACUCCGUGCCAGCAGCCGCGGUAAUUC
This 403-nucleotide ribosomal RNA is filed under the name uncultured bacterium. RNAcentral's name for it is "partial 16S ribosomal RNA". It matches the Rfam family "Bacterial small subunit ribosomal RNA", at positions 28 to 526 of the family's 1533-position model. The record is from RNAcentral.